RNAcentral lists this ribosomal RNA (230 nucleotides) under uncultured bacterium. RNAcentral's name for it is "partial 16S ribosomal RNA". It matches the Rfam family "Bacterial small subunit ribosomal RNA", at positions 15 to 235 of the family's 1533-position model. The record is from RNAcentral.
GAUCCUGGCUCAGGGUGAACGCUAGCUACAGGCUUAACACAUGCAAGUCGAGGGGCAGCGGGAUUGAAGCUUGCUUCAAUUGCCGGCGACCGGCGCACGGGUGAGUAACGCGUAUCCAACCUUCCGUACACUCAGGGAUAGCCUUUCGAAAGAAAGAUUAAUACCUGAUGGUAUGAUGAGAUUGCAUGAUAUCAUCAUUAAAGAUUUAUCGGUGUACGAUGGGGAUGUCG